Molecule: unclassified non-coding RNA, 524 nt
Filed under: Hevea brasiliensis (rubber tree)
Lineage: Eukaryota; Viridiplantae; Streptophyta; Magnoliopsida; Malpighiales; Euphorbiaceae
Source: RNAcentral
GAACUCUCGCUCUGAUGAGAAGCUGCUGUCAGUGUUCCGUGAGGGUGUCAAGUAUGGUGCUGGUAUCGGCCCGGGUGUUUACGACAUCCAUUCCCCCAGGAUCCCGUCGACCGAGGAGAUUGCUGACAGGAUCAACAAGAUGCUUGCUGUGCUCGAGACCAACAUCCUCUGGGUUAACCCUGACUGCGGUUUGAAGACCCGCAAGUAUGCUGAGGUUAAACCUGCGCUGACCAACAUGGUUGAGGCUGCGAAGAAGCUCCGCACCGAGCUGGCGAGUGCCAAGUGAGUUGCACCACCGCGCCACCUGUUUACUAUGGUUUUAGAUUGAAAAGCAAAGGAUUUUCCUCUCUUAAAUAAGAUAGGGUUGUGUUGUCUGGAGUUGAUUUUGGGAGGUGGUAUAGUGUCGUAGAGUUACCUAUUUUACCUAUUUUGUUAUUGCCCGUUGGUCUUAUGCAGUUAUCUGCCGUUGUGUGCACUUUUAACUUCGGUUGUAUGUUGAGACAUGGAAGUCUAAUGGAAUGCGG